RNAcentral lists this ribosomal RNA (253 nucleotides) under uncultured bacterium. Its description in RNAcentral is "partial 16S ribosomal RNA". It matches the Rfam family "Bacterial small subunit ribosomal RNA", at positions 524 to 776 of the family's 1533-position model. The record is from RNAcentral.
GACGUAGGGCGCGAGCGUUGUCCGGAAUUAUUGGGCGUAAAGAGCUCGUAGGUGGCCUGUCGCGUCGGCUGUGAAAACUCGGGGCUCAACUCCGAGCUUGCAGUCGAUACGGGCAGGCUAGAGUUCGGCAGGGGAGACUGGAAUUCCUGGUGUAGCGGUGAAAUGCGCAGAUAUCAGGAGGAACACCGGUGGCGAAGGCGGGUCUCUGGGCCGAUACUGACACUGAGGAGCGAAAGCGUGGGGAGCGAACAGG